UGCUUGUAUAUCACCUUCUACAUUUCAACUUCACGUAAGCUCGUUAUCCCUCUACUGCUUCUACGUUACGUGAGUUUCUGUCGCAUCUCGUGUCAAGGAUU
Long non-coding RNA from Copidosoma floridanum, 101 nucleotides. NCBI's taxonomy places the organism in Eukaryota, Metazoa, Arthropoda, Insecta, Hymenoptera, Encyrtidae. The record is from RefSeq and is a predicted model, not a curated record.